GUUGUCAUGGGUUCCGCUUCCCUCACGGAAGCGGGCGCUUUUUCUGGAUUCUAGCCUUCUGCCUUGUCUUCCAGCUCCGUGGGGCUAAGCAGUGCGAGGGCGUGGAGAACUCCACCAGGAUUGCCAGCCUGGCUCCAGCCGUGGAAAGCGUUGCCCAGUUCUCCUCCACCGCAUUCUCAUUGCUGCUUGCUCUUUCCGAGCACUUUCCUUCAUGCAACUUUGCAGAACUCAGUCUUAAAUCAGCCUAUAUAAAGAAAGAUAGAAGCCCUACCGGAAAAUCUUAUCUCUUUACACAGGCAAAAGACCCUGCAGGCAGUGCAUCUUGUGAUGGGAACCAAAACUACCCCCUCAAGCAAUACGGAUUGCCCUGAGGCAGCAAGAACCCCCCGCCGCCCCCCCACCAGAGAAUGAUCCACCUGGCCUUUUCUGCCCACCUGCAUGUAUCCACUGACCUUUGUCCUACAUUUGCUUUAUGUAAACCUAGAAUGUUGUCAGCACUUUGGAGACCGUCUUUGAGGCCACUAGUGUUGGCCUCAGUGAAAUAAAUCCCUUUU
Molecule: long non-coding RNA, 554 nt
Organism: Callorhinus ursinus (northern fur seal)
Lineage: Eukaryota; Metazoa; Chordata; Mammalia; Carnivora; Otariidae
Source: RefSeq, a predicted model, not a curated record